UUGAAUGGCUGCGAUAUUUUGAUCGUACUAAGGUAGCAUAAUCAUUAGUUUUUUAAUUGAAAGCUGGUAUGAAGGGUUGGAUGAGAAAAUGACUGUCUCUAUUUAAAUUUUAUAAAAUUUUAUUUUUAAGUUAAAAAGCUUAAAUAUUAUUAAAAGACGAGAAGACCCUAUAGAGUUUAAUAAAUUUAUUUUUAAUUAUAGUUUAGUAUUAAGUUAUUAAAUAGGAUAUAUUUAUUUAAUUGGGGUGAUUUAAAAAUUUAAUUAACUUUUUAUUUAUAUUAAUAUUUAUUUAUAGUUAUUUGAUCCAGUUAUAUUGAUUAUAAGAAAAAAUUACCUUAGGGAUAACAGCGUAAUUUUAUUGGAGAGUU
This 368-nucleotide ribosomal RNA is filed under the name Fleutiauxia armata. Its description in RNAcentral is "partial 16S ribosomal RNA". The record is from RNAcentral. Lineage: Eukaryota; Metazoa; Arthropoda; Insecta; Coleoptera; Chrysomelidae.